RNAcentral lists this non-coding RNA (23 nucleotides) under Arabidopsis thaliana (thale cress). Lineage: Eukaryota; Viridiplantae; Streptophyta; Magnoliopsida; Brassicales; Brassicaceae. The record is from RNAcentral.
AUCUAUCAAGUACACAGGACAUA